RNAcentral lists this ribosomal RNA (253 nucleotides) under uncultured bacterium. RNAcentral's name for it is "partial 16S ribosomal RNA". It matches the Rfam family "Bacterial small subunit ribosomal RNA", at positions 333 to 578 of the family's 1533-position model. The record is from RNAcentral.
UGGGACCUACGGGGCGCAGCAGUAGGGAAUCUUCCACAAUGGACGAAAGUCUGGUGGAGCAACGCCGCGUGAGUGAAGAAGGGUUUCGGCUCGUAAAGCUCUGUUGGUAGUGAAGAAAGAUAGAGGUAGUAACUGGCCUUUAUUUGACGGUAAUUACUUAGAAAGUCACGGCUAACUACGUGCCAGCAGCCGCGGUAAUAAGUAGGUGGGAAGCGUUGUCCGGAUUUAUUGGGCGUAAAAAGGGUGCAGGGGG